GGUUCUAUUUUGUUGGUUUCUAGGACCGCCGUAAUGAUUAAUAGGGAUAGUCGGGGGCGUCAGUAUUCAGCUGUCAGAGGUGAAAUUCUUGGAUUUGCUGAAGACUAACUACUGCGAAAGCAUUCGCCAAGGAUGUUUUCAUUAAUCAGGGAACGAAAGUUAGGGGAUCGAAGACGAUCAGAUACCGUCGUAGUCUUAACCAUAAACUAUGCCGACUAGGGAUC
RNAcentral lists this ribosomal RNA (224 nucleotides) under Pseudomonas fluorescens. RNAcentral describes it as "partial 16S ribosomal RNA". It matches the Rfam family "Eukaryotic small subunit ribosomal RNA", at positions 832 to 1054 of the family's 1831-position model. Lineage: Bacteria; Pseudomonadati; Pseudomonadota; Gammaproteobacteria; Pseudomonadales; Pseudomonadaceae. The record is from RNAcentral.